Molecule: transfer RNA, 76 nt
Filed under: Bacillota bacterium
Lineage: Bacteria; Bacillati; Bacillota
Description: tRNA-Pro
Rfam family: tRNA
About the family: Transfer RNA (tRNA) molecules are approximately 80 nucleotides in length. Their secondary structure includes four short double-helical elements and three loops (D, anti-codon, and T loops). Further hydrogen bonds mediate the characteristic L-shaped molecular structure. tRNAs have two regions of fundamental functional importance: the anti-codon, which is responsible for specific mRNA codon recognition, and the 3' end, to which the tRNAs corresponding amino acid is attached (by aminoacyl-tRNA synthetases). tRNAs cope with the degeneracy of the genetic code in two manners: having more than one tRNA (with a specific anti-codon) for a particular amino acid; and 'wobble' base-pairing, i.e. permitting non-standard base-pairing at the 3rd anti-codon position.
Source: RNAcentral
CGGAAUGUGGCGCAGAUGGUAGCGCGCACGGUUCGGGACCGUGAGGCCCCGGGUUCAAGUCCCGGCAUUCCGACCA